ACGAACGCUGGCGGCGUGCUUAAGACAUGCAAGUCGAGCGGGGGGACCCAGAGCAGCUUGCUGUGAGGGUUCCCUAGCGGCGGACGGGUGAGUAACGCGUGGGCAACCUACCCGCGAAUCGGGGACAACAGUGGGAAACCGCUGCUAAUACCGGAUGAGCUUUUCUGACCGCAUGGUCGGGGAAGGAAAAGGCAGCCUCUGCAUAGCAAGCUGUCGUUCGCGGAUGGGCCCGCGUCCCAUUAGCUAGUUGGUGGAGGUAACGGCCCACCAAGGCGACGAUGGUAGCCG
This 288-nucleotide ribosomal RNA is filed under the name uncultured bacterium. RNAcentral's name for it is "partial 16S ribosomal RNA". It matches the Rfam family "Bacterial small subunit ribosomal RNA", at positions 29 to 289 of the family's 1533-position model. The record is from RNAcentral.